This is a long non-coding RNA of Oryza brachyantha (malo sina), 790 nucleotides long. RefSeq lists it as uncharacterized. The record is from RefSeq and is a predicted model, not a curated record. Lineage: Eukaryota; Viridiplantae; Streptophyta; Magnoliopsida; Poales; Poaceae. The transcript has 4 exons.
CAGGCCCACACCAAUCGCCGGGUGGUCUCUCCGCCGCGUCUCAGCACCGGCGACCACGGACGGAGCCGGCGAGGAGGGAGGCGAGGCGACCUCGAUUCCUCGCCGUCCCCGUCGAUCUUGACCAAAGCCGGCGAAUCCGCGAAUCCCUCCGGCUUCCUCUCCCUUCCCUUCCUUGUGAGUUGGCUCCGUCACCCUCCCCGUUACCGCGACGCCAUCUCGCGGCUCUCCACCGAUCGGUGAGCCGUCCUGAUCACUUUCCAGGAUUCCCCUGUACUAACUUGAAUUUGUCGUAAGAGAUUGUUCCUACUAUAAUCAUCUGCAUAAGAGCUCUUCAGUAAACACUUCAAAUGUAUCUUGCACUGGAGUAAUGAACUGAAAACUUCAUAUGCCCAAUGUUGUCAAAUGUGAAUGCAAAAUUGAUCAAAUGGGUCUUCCUUCUUAAUUCAUUCACAUAAUUCGUUAACCAGCCAAGUUGGGCAGCUGCUUGCCUUGGAAGGGUGCUCCAAGGCCAUGUGCAAGGUUUGAUUAAACAUAAUAUUAAUUUGCAGCCUACUAUAGGAAAAGGUUCUCUAGGUCUGAUUUCUCUGUUUGUUUUCACUUUAAUUAUUAUCUGGCAGCUUUAUAAUUUUGGUUCCUGUUUUGCUUUCACCUCUUUUGCAUAUUAAAAGGUGUAAAGAACAGAGGUGUGUGAGCUUCUCCCGCCACUUUGUUGUUUUUAUAUUACAUGAAGUUUGCAAAAACGUUUUGUAUCAGAAUCCCCACUUCCUUUGGCUAAUUACACAAUACUACC